GCCAGGUGCCAGUGGUUAGCACUGUUGCCUCACAGCAAGAAAGUCCUGGGUUCGAAUCCCGGCUGUCC
This 68-nucleotide transfer RNA is filed under the name Megalops atlanticus (tarpon). Its description in RNAcentral is "tRNA-OTHER". The record is from RNAcentral. Lineage: Eukaryota; Metazoa; Chordata; Actinopteri; Elopiformes; Megalopidae.